GACGAACGCUGGCGGCGUGCCUAACACAUGCAAGUCGAACGGACAUUAAUUUUUCGGAAUUGAUGUUAGUGGCGGACGGGUGAGUAACGCGUGAGCAACCUGCCUUUCAGAGGGGGAUAACGUAUGGAAACGUACGCUAAUACCGCAUGACAUAUAUUUGCCGCAUGGCAGAUAUAUCAAAGGAGCAAUCCGCUGAGAGAUGGGCUCGCGUCCGAUUAGAUAGUUGGUGGGGUAACGGCCUACCAAGUCAGCGAUCGGUAGCCGGACUGAGAGGUUGAACGGCCACAUUGGGACUGAGACACGGCCCAGACUCCUACGGGAGGCAGCAGUGGGGGAUAUUGCACAAUGGGCGAAAGCCUGAUGCAGCAACGCCGCGUGAGGGAAGGACGGUUUUCGGUAGUUGUUAAACCUACCUGUCUUUGGUUGACGAAACAAAUAGACGGUAGGCCAACGGAGGAAGGACCACGGCGUAACCAACCGUGCCACGCAGCCGCCGGUAAGUACGUAG
RNAcentral lists this ribosomal RNA (508 nucleotides) under uncultured bacterium. Its description in RNAcentral is "bacterial SSU rRNA". It matches the Rfam family "Bacterial small subunit ribosomal RNA", at positions 28 to 530 of the family's 1533-position model. The record is from RNAcentral.